AACGAACGCUGGCGGCAGGCCUAACACAUGCAAGUCGAGCGCGCCUUCGGGUGAGCGGCGGACGGGUUAGUAACGCGUGGGAACGUACCCUUCUCUACGGAAUAGCCUUUGGAAACGAAGAGUAAUACCGUAUACGCCCUUUGGGGGAAAGAUUUAUCGGAGAAGGAUCGGCCCGCGUUAGAUUAGAUAGUUGGUGGGGUAACGGCCUACCAAGUCUACGAUCUAUAGCUGGUUUUAGAGGAUGAUCAGCAACACUGGGACUGAGACACGGCCCAGACUCCUACGGGAGGCAGCAGUGGGGAAUCUUAGACAAUGGGCGCAAGCCUGAUCUAGCCAUGCCGCGUGAGUGAUGAAGGCCUCUGGGCUGUAAACCUCUUUUAUCAAGGAAGAAGAUCUGACGGUACUUGAUGAAUAAGCCACGGCUAAUUCCGUG
RNAcentral lists this ribosomal RNA (433 nucleotides) under uncultured bacterium. Its description in RNAcentral is "bacterial SSU rRNA". It matches the Rfam family "Bacterial small subunit ribosomal RNA", at positions 29 to 507 of the family's 1533-position model. The record is from RNAcentral.